This is a small nucleolar RNA of Fundulus heteroclitus (mummichog), 82 nucleotides long. The record is from Ensembl. NCBI's taxonomy places the organism in Eukaryota, Metazoa, Chordata, Actinopteri, Cyprinodontiformes, Fundulidae.
UUGAUGCAAUGAUGACUGCAUAGUUCAGCAGAUUACACAAUGAAGAACACAUUUUGUCUUUCGCUCCUAUCUGACGCAUCGG